UCUACUAGAGAUUAGUAGUGGGACCUGGUCAUUGAUCAAAGAUAAAAUUUUCUUUAAGUAUGAUUUAAAACACGCCUUAGCGUGAGGGUGAUAAUGUAGCAUAAUAAAAUAACAUUUAAUUGAUGUUGGGAAUGAAUGGUGAAACGAUUAUUAUACUGUCUCGGUAGUAAAACUUUUGAAAUUAAAACGAAAAUGAAUAUUUUUACAAAAAUUUGUAAGACGAUAAGACCCUAAAACCUUUACUAUAAAUAGGUUUUAUUCCUUUUGGUAGUUUGAUUGGGGCGAUCUUUUUUAGAAACAAAAAAAAAAUAAAAAUACCUGUAAUAAGUAAAUUAACAACUGAAUUUCAUAAAGUUAUUUAGUAAAACGAUUUUAAGACCAUAUUUGUAUACUUUGAAAUAUAAUUUUAAAAAAGGUACUUUAGGGAUAACAGGGCUAGACUUAUUUACUAGAAGUUAUAGUAAAUAAAGUUUGCCACCUCGAUGUUGAAUUGAAAUUUCCUAUAAAUGCAUAAGUUUAUAAGGGUUGGACUGUUCUUCCACAAAGAUUUU
Molecule: ribosomal RNA, 551 nt
Filed under: Pegantha martagon
Lineage: Eukaryota; Metazoa; Cnidaria; Hydrozoa; Narcomedusae; Solmarisidae
Description: partial large subunit ribosomal RNA
Rfam family: Bacterial large subunit ribosomal RNA
Source: RNAcentral